Haliotis rufescens (red abalone) is the source of this 344-nucleotide long non-coding RNA. RefSeq lists it as uncharacterized. The transcript is spliced from 3 exons. The record is from RefSeq and is a predicted model, not a curated record. NCBI's taxonomy places the organism in Eukaryota, Metazoa, Mollusca, Gastropoda, Lepetellida, Haliotidae.
GUCAGACUACUACUGGUGCUAGAUCUACUUGAAAAGUACUUCUAUCAGGUCAGGCUACUACAUGUGCUAGGUCUAUUUGAGAAGUACUUCUAUCAGGUCAGACUUCUAUUGGUGCUAGGUCUACUUUGAGAAGUACUUCUACUAGUGCAAGGUCUACUUGAGAAGUACUUCUAUCAGGUCAGAUUUCUACUGGUGUUAGGUCUACUUGAGGAGUACUUCUAUCAGGUCAGACUACUACUGGUGCAAGGUCUACUUGAGAAGUACUUCUAUCAGGUCAGACUACUACUGGUGCUAGGUCUACUUGAGAAGUACUUCUAUCAGGUCAGACUACUACUGGUGUUAGG